CCUACGGGAGGCAGCAGUGAGGAAUAUUGGUCAAUGGGCGGGAGCCUGAACCAGCCAAGUCGCGUGAGGGAAGACGGUCCUAUGGAUUGUAAACCUCUUUAGGCGGGGAGCAAUGCCGGGCACGCGUGCCCGGAGGGAGAGUACCCGCAGAAUAAGCAUCGGCUAACUCCGUGCCAGCAGCCGCGGUAAUACGGAGGAUGCGAGCGUUAUCCGGAGUUAUUGGGUUUAAAGGGUGCGUAGGCGGAUUUUUAAGUCAGCGGUAAAAUGUCGGGGCUCAACCCGGGCCGGCCGUGACACUGGGGAUCUUGAGUGGGCGAGAAGUAUGCGGAAUGCGUGGUGUAGCGGUGAAAUGCAUAGAUAUCACGCAGAACUCCGAUUGCGAAGGCAGCAUACCGGCGCCCGACUGACGCUGAGGCACGAAAGCGUGGGGAUCGAACAGGAUUAGAUACCCCAGUAGUC
RNAcentral lists this ribosomal RNA (459 nucleotides) under uncultured bacterium. Its description in RNAcentral is "partial 16S ribosomal RNA". It matches the Rfam family "Bacterial small subunit ribosomal RNA", at positions 338 to 795 of the family's 1533-position model. The record is from RNAcentral.